UGCCAAAUGUGGCAAGUCACCGACAAGUGAGAGAAUUAGCGACCAACACGUUCGUUAGUGACGUGGCAAACUUACCAUGUCACCAAUUUUUCCUAGGGGAAGAAAUGUCCCGCGCAGAAUGGUCCUCUUCAUUUUCUCUCAAGCUCUCUCACUCUACUCUCUCUCUCUCUCUCUCCACCAGUACUGCGGCUUCUCUCCUCCACGAGCACCGCCGGCCAACCCACGACCACGAUCUCUACGGUAACUCUUGUCUUCUCCUUCACGGUCAAUGCAGAACAGCUCCUCUCUCUUUCUCUGUGCUAGCAUCUCUGGACCUACUGUUCUCAUACUACAUUGCUGUGGAUAGGUCGGAGGAAAUGAUCAAAAGAAUACUUGGGUCUUCAGCUGCCGGAGGUGUAUCAGCCUUGAUGGUUGGGUUUUUGUUUUACUUUUGUCUUAUUUUCAUGCCUUCCAUAUUUACCAUUUUGUGGAGAAAUAGUUGCCUUUGGUGAGCUAUGAUUUAUUUGUCUUAUGUUUAAUUCAUUUGCUGCCAAAGGAGUUGAACCUAAGGUUUUGUUACUGCACUGUUUUGUCAUCAGGAUUACUUUUUGUUUGGGAAGAGAGGUUUAGAAAAACAGUGGGCUAACCACUUUGGCUGCUUUUCCGGUAUUGAACUUCCAUCUUUUUUU
Molecule: long non-coding RNA, 668 nt
Organism: Alnus glutinosa
Lineage: Eukaryota; Viridiplantae; Streptophyta; Magnoliopsida; Fagales; Betulaceae
Exons: 2
Source: RefSeq, a predicted model, not a curated record